AUUGAACGCUGGCGGCAGGCCUAACACAUGCAAGUCGAGCGGAUGAAGGGAGCUUGCUCCUGGAUUCAGCGGCGGACGGGUGAGUAAUGCCUAGGAAUCUGCCUGGUAGUGGGGGAUAACGUCCGGAAACGGGCGCUAAUACCGCAUACGUCCUGAGGGAGAAAGUGGGGGAUCUUCGGACCUCACGCUAUCAGAUGAGCCUAGGUCGGAUUAGCUAGUUGGUGGGGUAAAGGCCUACCAAGGCGACGAUCCGUAACUGGUCUGAGAGGAUGAUCAGUCACACUAGAACUGAGACACGGUCCAGACUCCUACGGGAGGCAGCAGUGGGGAAUAUUGGACAAUGGGCGAAAGCCUGGUCCAGCCAUGCCGCGUGUGUGAAGAAGGUCUUCGGAUUGUAAAGCACUUUAAGUUGGGAGGAAGGGCAGUAAGUUAAUACCUUGCUGUUUUGACGUUACCAACAGAAUAAGCACCGGCUAACUUCGUG
RNAcentral lists this ribosomal RNA (484 nucleotides) under uncultured bacterium. RNAcentral describes it as "partial 16S ribosomal RNA". It matches the Rfam family "Bacterial small subunit ribosomal RNA", at positions 30 to 507 of the family's 1533-position model. The record is from RNAcentral.